GUCGCUACUACCGAUUGGAUGAUUUAGUGAGGCCUUCGGACUGGCUCAGGGGGGUUGGCAACGACCGCCCAGAGCCGGAAAGUUGGUCAAACUUGGUCAUUUAGAGGAAGUAA
RNAcentral lists this ribosomal RNA (113 nucleotides) under uncultured eukaryote. Its description in RNAcentral is "partial small subunit ribosomal RNA". It matches the Rfam family "Eukaryotic small subunit ribosomal RNA", at positions 1675 to 1785 of the family's 1831-position model. The record is from RNAcentral.